This 742-nucleotide ribosomal RNA is filed under the name Gram-negative bacterium B1G-1A. Its description in RNAcentral is "bacterial SSU rRNA". It matches the Rfam family "Bacterial small subunit ribosomal RNA", at positions 699 to 1477 of the family's 1533-position model. The record is from RNAcentral.
AUUGUAAUUUCGAGAACCCAUGGGAAGCGCUCAUGGCCGAACUCCCUUAAGUGGAAACGUGGGAACAACAGAUUAAUCCCUGGUAGUCCCCCGUAACGAUAAUCCCAUCGUCGGCAGCAUGUUGUUCGGUGACACACCUAACGGAUUAAGCAUUCCGCCUGGGAGUACGUUCGCAAGAUUAAAACUCAAAGGAAUUGACGGCUGCCCGCACAAGCGGUGGAGCAUGUGGUUUAAUUCGAAGCAACGCGCAGAACCUUACCAACCCUUGACAUGGCAGUGACCGUUCCAGAGAUGGUCCUUUCUCGCAAGAGACACUGCACACAGGUGCUGCAUGGCUGUCGUCAGCUCGUGUCGUGAGAUGUUCGGUUAAGUCCGGCAACGAGCGCAACCCACGCCUUUAGUUGCCAGCAUUCAGUUGGGCACUCUAAAGGAACUGCCGGUGAUAAGCCGGAGGAAGGUGUGGAUGACGUCAAGUCCUCAUGGCCCUUACGGGUUGGGCUACACACGUGCUACAAUGGUGGUGACAAUGGGUUAAUCCCAAAAAGCCAUCUCAGUUCGGAUUGUCGUCUGCAACUCGGCGGCAUGAAGUCGGAAUCGCUAGUAAUCGCGUAACAGCAUGACGCGGUGAAUACGUUCCCGGGCCUUGUACACACCGCCCGUCACACCAUGGGAAUUGGAUCCACCCGAAGGCGGUGCGCCAACCAGCAAUGGAGGCAGCCGGCCACGGUGGGCUCAGUGACUG